Molecule: ribosomal RNA, 406 nt
Filed under: uncultured microorganism
Description: bacterial SSU rRNA
Rfam family: Archaeal small subunit ribosomal RNA
Source: RNAcentral
GUGCACCAGGCGAGAAACCUUCGCAAUGCGGGAAACCGCGACGAGGGGACUCCCAGUGCCUACGCUCAGCGUAGGCUGUUCCCGAGCCUAGAAAGCUCGGGGAGUAAGGGCUGGGUAAGACGGGUGCCAGCCGCCGCGGUAAUACCCGCAGCCCGAGUGGUGGCCACUAUUAUUGGGCCUAAAGCGUCUGUAGCCGGCCCGGUAAAUGCCUGGGUAAAUCGUGAGGCCUAACCUCACGAAUUCCGGGUAGACUGCCGGGCUAGGGGACCGGAGGAGGGGAGAGGGGUACUCCAGGGGUAGGGGUGAAAUCCUGUAAUCCCUGGAGGACCACCGGUGGCGAAGGCGCUCUCCUAGGACGGAUCCGACGGUGAGGGACGAAAGCCAGGGGAGCGAACCGGAUUAGAUA